Long non-coding RNA from Passer domesticus (house sparrow), 281 nucleotides. RefSeq lists it as uncharacterized. The transcript has 2 exons. The record is from RefSeq and is a predicted model, not a curated record. NCBI's taxonomy places the organism in Eukaryota, Metazoa, Chordata, Aves, Passeriformes, Passeridae.
GGAAAAGGUUCUUUACCUAGUGGGUGAUUGGGCACUGGAACAGGCUCCCCUGGGAAAGUGACCAGAGCACCAGCCUGAGAGUGCUCAAGAAGCAUUUGGACAAUGCUCUCAGGCACAUGGUCAGAUCACCAAAGACCAGGGAUGAAAUCCAGUUCUGCUUUUCAAAGCCACAAUAGUGAACUGUGGACUAAAGGCACAGAGAUGUGACAUGGCUGCUGCCUUUCUGUGAAGCCCCAGGCAUUCAGAAUGAACUUGAUGGAUCAUUGUUUGAAAUUUCACAA